UUCCCGCGAUAAUAAGCUUUGGGAGCAACUCAGUGCUCUGAAACGGAGCCACGUCUGCCCGAGUUAACGACUCGUAGCAGAACUCACCUCGAAUGAAUCACUCUCCGACGAACGCCCUCUCCUCCACACGCUUCUCCAACGCAGUGUCAGAUGAAUGUAGAAGUGGAGUGAAUUGAAAGGGGACGAGUUUCAGUGGCGAAACUAAAAGGAUGUUGAGCGCUCUGCUUGUAAUUGACGAAUGGAUCAUAUCUUUCUCUUCCCUUACGAACUCAAUGACUCGGGUAAGCAGCAGUUAUGGACUAAUACACAUGAAUAAUGGUGAUACUUAUAUUUUUGACCCUUUACACUGUAGGAUCAAGCGCUUACCACUGAGCUAAAAGCAAUUGCUGUUAGUGAGGGUGCAACUUUAUUUCCUUAUAGUAUGAGCUUUUUCAGGGGCUGCACCUAAAGCGAAGUUUGUAAGCUCCCUCUAAGCGCCAUGGGUUGGGAUGUUAAGCCCAUUCGAAUCCCUAAGGGUGACGCUGGAUUUAUUUAUCCAACAUACACUUCUAUGUUCUGCUUACAUGUGUAUAGGUUAUAUAGCUCAAGCUUUGCAUUUUUAAAUAACGUUUUUUUAGUCACUUCUAUUCUUGGUCUGCAACACAAGUCUCUCAUAUAUAAUUAAUUAAUAUAGGAACUUCAGAUAUAGAAACAGAUAUUCUUUGAAAGAGCUAUUAAAAGCCCGGGUUUCUAUCA
Long non-coding RNA from Lathyrus oleraceus (garden pea), 735 nucleotides. RefSeq lists it as uncharacterized. The record is from RefSeq and is a predicted model, not a curated record. Lineage: Eukaryota; Viridiplantae; Streptophyta; Magnoliopsida; Fabales; Fabaceae. The transcript has 4 exons.